UAAGCCAGGUUCAGAUACAGGAGCGACUGUCACAGACGAAGAGAAUGAACCUUCAACCAAACGCCAGAAAACCGAUGAUGGUGAACCCGCCAGCGAACCUUGAUUGACAUUGUCAUCGUAACUUUUUGUUCGUCAAUCUUGAUAUCACUUGUUGUUUCUUUCUUGUGAGCGAACAGACUAUUGAUAGUACCUACUGUGACAUGUUUUGAGCAAUGAAUUUUGAUCAGGCAAUUUUACUCUAUAGCCCCCCCCCCCCCCCCCAUUAUUUGCCAGUUGAUGGUGAUUAAGUAGCUGUGACAUGUGCUAUACAAACGAAGCUAUACUUGUGCCUAACCCAACAGACCCUGCCCAUCUGCCAGAGCGUCCAGACACGCAAUCUGGGCCUCGAGAGAGCCCUUAUCACGGCGCGCCUCCGCCGCUCUAUUAUGAGACCAGCCAUGCAGAAAUUUACGGAUCGCAUAGGAGCACUUGUGCCGGUCAUCCAUGGGUCCCAAGGACCGGCGGCAAGACGAAAGAAGCAUUUACGGAUCGCAUAGGAGCACUUGUGCCGGCCAUCCAUGGGUCCCAAGGACCGGCGGCAAGACGAAAGAAGCCCAGAGAGGGACCGGCGGCAAGACGAAAGAAGCCUAGAGAUUUUUGAAGCUAACAGCUUCGAAAAACCUUGAACGAGAAGCCACGACGCGUCGAACUAGAAGCGAGACGGGAUAACGGGAGCCUCCAAACCUGUGUCGAGGAUAAGAGGUGCAUGGUCCGAGCCCACAAUGGACUUGACUUUAAGAAAAGCGCGAGGAAACAGAGAAUCCCAGGAAGGACAGAUAAAUGUUCGAUCAAGAGGCGAACGAAUAGGGUUAGCUUGACCAUUAGACGAGGUGAAGCGGGCUUCCACCUUUGGAAGUUCUCGAAAAGUGCAAUCACGAAUGAAAGAGUUGAAGGCAUCAGCCAGGGGCCAUGAAAAGUUACUAGAACUCUUAUCCGUAGGGGAGCGAAGGAGGUUAAACCCCAUCAACUAGCAGAGGAAGCGCACACGCAUCAAUUUUAUUAGGGAAUGCAUCCAGAAAUAAGUAGCGAAUCCAGAAAUAAGUAGGACAAAGAGUGGUCCGCAGGAUCGUAAACAACCAUGAUUUCGAAAAGUCGAUUAAGACUUCGAUGAUGCACCACCGUGCUGGCUCAAAAGACACCGUGAUCAAAAGCCACACGAUCAAACACAUCGCGCUUGGUACCCAGUAGGAUUCCGUCGGAGUGGCCUGAGGAAGGAAGGAAAUUCCAGUUAAAUCUGUCCAUCCCCACAACCGCAGAGAAUUCAUUAGGAGAGAAGGAUACCUUGAAAGUUUCAACAAGCCCAAUAACAUCAAUGUUCUCACCUCUAACAACAUUCCUAAUUUGGUCACGGCGCCCCCUAGCGCCGAAGCCUCUAAUAUUUCAGAGUAGGUCUCUCAUUUGAAAGAAAGAUUUUUGAUACGAAGACUCGACCUGCGGGGGCAACGCAGGAUUUGACACGCUUAGAAGGGACCCGCUUAGAAGGCGGAGGUGCGGCCUGACCACUACCAGUAGCACCCACCUCCACACUCGACUACCAGUGGCGGACUUCAGCACAGCCAUCCUGGAUAGCCGGCCCUGACUCACAAGAAAAUUUAUGUAUACCAUGUGGUAAUUAGCCUAGAUAUGCAGCAAAACAAGUGCGGCCCCAACUGUUUGCUCAACAACAUCAAAUGUGAGGCAAGACUCGGGACUCAAAUAUUCCGGGUUAGUAGCACCACAUGUAACUCCAUGUAUUGUAAAACAAACUAUUAUCCUUAAUUAAUAAAUGAAUAAAAUCUUUUGUCUUCGUUUCAAUUCAGUGGAUAAAGAUAUUGCGUCAGGAAAUUAGCAAAUCAUUCUAAACCAAAUCCUAAACCCACUGCUUUUCCUUUGCCAAAAUGUAAGAGCAUCUCGAACAAACGGGCGGUGGCGCGGCGCGCUAAAUUUUUAUAGGCACCGAAAUAGCAUUUUAUGGUGCGCGGACGUUGAUAAUUUAAGUAGGCGUUGUAAAAUUUAGCGAGCUACAAUAGCGCUUCACCACACAUGGUAAAAUACACAACGUGCAUUCAGCCGUCGCUUGGCACAUAUAGAACAUCACAUAUCAAUUUUUGAUAAUUAAAACAACAUGAUCUUGAACUUUAAAAUUAGCAAAAUGAUGAGUUGAGGAACAUAGCAUAGUUCAAAUUCAUGACAUAGUUCAAAUUCUUCUAACCACAAGGUUCACACAAACGAAUGAAACAUCAAGAAUCACGCUCCAUCUUCUUCCUCCUCUUCUUCCUUGUCCUUCUCCUCCUCUUUUUCCUCCUCUUCAUCAUCUUUAAGAACCUCAGUGUCAGUGGAACCUCGGACGUCUUCGUCUGCAGGGUAGUUGCACGCCCUUUCUCUCGGUGCAUCAACCAUAGCCUCACCCUCCUCAUUCACUUCAUAUUCAUGAUAUUCUUGAUUCACUUCAUUGGUUUGAGACCAAUGAAAAUUGUUGGAGCCAACACCUAUAGGUGACAAAUAUGCGUCAUCAUUGAAACUAUAAAGUAUGGUAAAGAAAACUAAAUCAAGCUAAUAAUAUGUACACAUUUCUAGCAACAACAAAAAAAGAAAGAAUAAAAAACCUUACCUUGCGGCCAUUUCAUCGAACACCAUUUGCGCGUCGGUCGCUAGUGCACCAAAUUGCGAUGGGCUGCAGAGGAGCGGCGUGGUCUCUGAUGGGGACGCGAUGGUGGGCGCGGCCUUCUCCCCCUACCCCUCUCCCCAAUUUCCCCCUCUCCUCUAGGGUUUCGCAUCGUGUCGUCGUUGGGCUGCAGAGGAGCGACGUGGUCUCUGAUGGGGACGCGAUGGUGGGCGCGGCCUUCUCCCCCUACCGGACAUACCCUUUCUUCCAGCCUGCUAAGGGCAUGUGCAACUCUCUAGACGGCUCUGUUCAUGUCAGAUUUAGUCUGCAAUACAAACAUUUUUAUACAAUGCAUUGUCUAGUAGUUAGUAGUCUGCAUAGAGACUCUAGAAUUACAAGAAAAUGUGACCCUAUCCUUGGUGGGAAAAUGGAUAGUUGCAGACACCCAUCAUACAAGGGAGAAAUGCCGUAGUUAAGAAGAUAUUUUCAUGGUUUUAGUCGAUUGGUAAUUAUGGAGACGGACAGUUUUUUUGCUGGAGGAAUCAACAAAGCCGCGCGGGUGGGAUGGGUAGAUUCCCUUGAGGCAUUCAGUCCUACUAGUUCAUAUUUUGCUGUUGAUGUUAUUUUUGUUGUUGGUUCAUGUUGUUGUUGGUUCAUAGUGGUGCUUCAGGCUUUAGUAUCUCAUGGUUUUUGCAAACAACAGACGCAACAUUCACAUUGCUGUUGGUUCCAGGACUUAUUAGCAUAUUAGGAUCAACAAAUUACUAUUUUGCUUCUGUAUGUUACAUUGCGAUUUUUAAUUCAUGAUUGUUUUUUUGUUGCUACCUACUGUUUGUAUGUCGCACAUGUCUUUUAGUUUUUUUAGCGCGUGCAUAUUGGGGUGUUUUCUAUCUACUGUUAUGAUGCAUCAUAGGUCAUGAUUGAGUUCUUUUUUUUCUCUUUUUUGCAGUUGUUGCAGGCACCUCUGCUGAGAAUGAGGGGAGUAAGAAGGUUAAGAAGAAGAAGAUCAAGAAGAAAGAAGAUUUUUGUGGCUUCAAGAUGAGGUUUAAUUCGAAACGGCCAGGUGAUCUUGCGCAACAGUUAUCACCGGCGAAACAGGGUAUCAUUCGAAAUGGCCUAUUUGAAAAUUUGUUGGAUAUCAAGCCCUUCAAGGUACCGCAUGCACUUAUCGAGUUUAUGGUGAUGCACACAAAUCAUGCACUUCUAGAGUUCAAAUACAAGAAUAAAUCAAUCAAGUUCAGCAAAAACAUGGUGAAAAGGAUUUUCAAUGUGCCAUCCGGUGAUAGUCCUAUGAAGCUUCUCAAGAAGAGCGAUGAACAUGACCUUCGCAGUAUUUACAAGGAGGGGAAUAGAGCGCCAAUUGCCCAUGUUUUCAAGUUGCUCAGAGAUUGCAGCGAUAUGGACGAGGCUAUGAUAAGGAGAACAUGGGACCUUGUUGCGUUGGCAAUAGUUGUUUGCCCAGGCACCGGCAACAUGGUCAACCUUGAGUAUCUUCCUUCCCUUGAAAACAUGGAUUUGGUGCACAACCUUGCCUGGGAUGAGCACUUAUUGGCACGAGCUAUGGAGGAGGUUGCAGUCUUUCAAGAGAAGAAGCGGGGCCAAGCAACAAUUGAAAAUCCAAAAGAAUUUCAGAUCGGCUCAUGUCUGCCCAUGUUAGCGGUAUGCAACGUUUUCAUGAUGAAACACAUCCUUUCCUUUUCAUUGAUGCACAUACAUCUGUAUAGCUUUGCAUUCAUGAUUUUUUGUUGUUGGUUGUUAUGCAGAUUAUAUACAUGGAUCAUCUUGAUAUCCCGCCCGGCCUCCCAAAUGAGCAUGUCAUAGAUUAUUCUGUGCCAAGGAUACGUUAUGUUUGUCAAAAGGAUUUCGAUUGGGUGGAUAAAGUUGACAAGAACAAGCUUACUCUUGUCCAUCCUUUCUAUGGGAAGCACACACAAGUAUUUUUUUUCUUUAUCCCAUUUAUGUUCCUUCGUGUCAUACGUUUUUUUGUUAAUGAGCAUGUCGUAGUAAUUCAGCCUAUGGAUGCAAAGUAUGUAUGUAGCAAUUAGGAUGCAGCAUGUAGCAAAUUAAUAUGCUGGCUGUAGCAAAUGAACAAUAUGGAUGCAACAUGUAGCAAAUGAACAUUAUGGUUGUAGAAAAUUAACAAUAUGGAUGCAACAAUUAGGAUGCAGCAUGUAGCAAAUUAACAUUAUGGAUGCAGCAAAUGAACCAUAUGGAUGCAACAAUUAGGAUGUAGCAUGUAGCAAAUUAACAUUAUGGAUGCAACAAAUGAACCAUAUGGAUGAAACAAUUAGGAUGCAGCAUGUAGCAAAUUAACAUUAUGGAUGCAACAAAUGAACCAUAUGGAUGCAACAAUUAGGAUGCAGCAUGUAGCAAAUUAACAUUAUGGUUGCAACAAUUAGGAUGCAGCAUAUAGCAAAUUAACAUUAUGGAUGCAGCAAAUGAACAAUAUGGAUGCAACAAUUAGGAUGCAGCAUGUAGCAAAUUAACAUUAUGGAUGCAGCAAAUGAACCAUAUGGAUGCAACAUGUAGCAACUGUCAGUUUCAGAUUUUUUUGUUGCUAGCUACUUUUUGUAUGUUGCACAUGUUUUCACUUUUUUUAGCGUGUGCAUAUGUGUGUUUUAUAGCUGCUGUUUUUGACCACAUCACAGGUUUUGGUUCCAUCUCAUGCAUACCAACCAACUUUUAUUUCUCCCUCAUGAUUUUUGUUUCUUUUUGUUCCUAGUUUCGGACUCUGUGCAACACUCCGUAUGCUGAGGUUAUUGGUCCAGAAGUUGAUCGUGAAGCAGCCACCGGGCAGGGCGCUAGUGCUGAAGCAGCUAAUGGCCAAGGAAGCCAAAAUGAAGUACCUGAAGCUCAAGAAAAUGUUGAGGUCCUACCAAAUUUAUCCUCAUCGUUCGAUGAUUGGCUUCAACAACCGUUCCCUAGCAUGGAUGAUCUAAAGGUACCUUUUUCUACAAAAGUUGCAUGCAUUAUUUUUUUUGUUUUAAAGAUACAUGUAAAAUGACUAAUUUUUGAAAUACGUGCCUUCUUGUAGGUACCAGCUCAGUUCCAAACAUUGUAUGACAAGCACAAGGAAAAUUUCUCAAUCGAGGUUGAUGAUGCAAUACGCAAGCUUGGGCAAAGUUUAAAGCGAUUGCAAUCCAGUCGGAUGGCCUCUAUGCUUCGUGACGUGGGAGAUGCCAUCGCUAAUACCACAGAUGAAGCUCUGGAGAAAGCUAAGGAUGCUCAAGAUGAAGCUGCAACACCUACCAUGGACGAGGCUCGUGAGAAAGAGAAGGAUGCUCAAGAUGAAGCUGAAGCUGUGCUACUGCGACAACAUACCUUCCCUAGCAACGGCGCCAGGAAUCCUGCUGCUACGGCUACACCUAUAGGGACUUCCUUGGCAAAUAUGCAAAGGAUUUCCCCGCGGCCCUGGAGCCUUGCGUUGGUGUUCCCUUGAAGAGGAAAGGGUGAUGUAGCACAACUGCGGUAAGUAUUUCCCUCAGUUUGAGAACCAAGGUAUCAAUCCAGUAGGAGGAGCGUUCAAGUACCUACACAAACAUAAAGAGCUUGCACCCAACGCUAUGAAGGGGUUGUCAAUCCCUUAUAGAUUGUUUGCAAAGUGAGAACUGAAAGCAAGGAGUAAACAAAGCAAAGUAAAAGUGAAAGUGGAAACGAUAGUUGUGAAUAGACCCGGGGGCCGUAGUGUUCACUAGUGGCUUCUCUCAUGAAAGCAAGUAAACGGUGGGUGAACGAAUUACUAUCGAGCAAUUGAUAGAACCGCGCAAAGUCGUGACGUUAUCUAAGGCAAUGAUUAUAUCUAUAGGCAUCACGUCCAAAACAAGUAGACCGAUACUUUCUGCAUCUACUACUAUUACUCCACACGUCGACCGCUAUCUAGCAUGCAUCUAGUGUAUUAAGUCCAAAAGAACAGAGUAACACCUUAAGCAAGAUGACAUGAUGUAGAUGGACAAUCUCAUAUCUACGAUAAAAUCUCAUCUUGUUACCCUUGAUGGCAACAACACGAUGCGUGCCUUGCUGCCCCUUCUGUCACUGGGAAAGGUCACCACACGGUAUGAACCCAAAAACAAGCACUUAUCCCAUUGCAAGAAUCAUAGAUCUAGUUGGCCAAACAAAACCCAUGACUCGGAGAGACUUACAAGGAUAUCAAAUCAUGCAUAUAAGAAAUCAGCAAAGACUCAAAUAUAAUUCAUAGAUAAUCUGAUCACAAAUCCACAAUUCAUCGGAUCUCAACAAACACACCGCCAAAGAGGAUUACAUCGGAUAGAUCUCCAUGAAGAUCAUGGGGAACUUUGUAUUGAAGAUCCAAGAGAGAGAAGAAGCCAUCUAGCUACUAACUACGGACCCGUAGGUCUGAAGUGGACUACUCACGAGUCAUUGGAGAGGCGAUGAUGUUGAUGUAGAAGCCCUCCAACUCCAAUGUCCUCUCCGGCAGGGCACCGGGAAGGGUCUCCAGAUGAGAUCUCGCGGAAACGGAAGCUUGCGGCGGCGGAAAAGUGUUUUCGUGGAUGCCCUGAUUUUUUCUGGGAUUUUAGGGAAUUUAUAGGCCAAAGAGCUAGGGCAGGGGAGCGCCAGGGAGGCCACAAGCUUGGUUGCCACAGGCCCCCCUGGCCGCGGCAACAGGGCUUGUGGGCUUCCUGUGGGCCCACUGCCUUGGCCCUCAAUCCUCCCGAUCUUCUUCCGUUCUCGAAAAAUUUAUUUCGGGAAUUUUAUUCCGUUUGGACUCCGUUCCAAAAUCAGAUAUGAAAAGAGUCAAAAACACAAAAAAAACAGGAACUGACACUUGACACUUGAUUAAUAAGUUCGUCCCAAAAAAAUAUAUAAAAGGUAAACAAAACAUCCAAAGUUGACAAGAUAACAGCGUAAAACCAUCAAAAAUUAUAGAUACGUUUGAGACGUAUCAAGCAUCCCCAAGCUUAACUCCUGCUUGUCCUCGAGUAGGGAAGUGAUAAAGAAUGAAUUUUUGAUGCUUUCAUGCUACCUAGCAUAUAUGUCCUUUGUAACUCCUCUUAUGUGACGUGAAUGUUCAAAUCCAUUAGAUUCAAAACAAUAGUUUGCUAUUGACGCGGAGACAAUAAUAAUUCAAGCAAAAUAGCAAGGUAAUCAUGAACUUUGAAAAUAACAAGGCCAAAAGAAAGUUAUCCCUACAAAAUCAUAUAGUCUGGCUAUGCUCUAUCAUCCUUGCACAACGAAUUUAAAUCAUGCACAACGCCGGUAUUGGCCAAGUAACUAUUUUCACACCUUUACUUUCUCAAACUUUUUCGACUGCAAUACAUGAGCGUGAGCCAUAGUUUUAGCACUAUAAGUGGUGUGGAGUGUGGUGGAGGUUGCAAGGCGAACAAGGAGAAGAUGGUCACAUUGACUAGGCAUAUCAAUGAGCUAUGGAGAUGCUCAUCAAUAGAUAUCAACGUGAAUGAGUAGGGAUUGCCAUACAAAUGAUGCACUACAGCUAAGAGUAUGUGAAAGCUCUUAAAGAAAACUAGUGGGUGUGCAUCCAACUUGCUUGCUCACGAAGACCUAAGGCAAUUUUGAGGAAGCCUAUCAUUGGAAUAUACAAGCCAAGUUAUAUAAUGAAAAUUUCCCAUUAGCUAUAUGGUGGUGACAAAACGAGAGACUCUCAAUCAUGAAGAUCAUGGUGCUUAAUAUGCACAAGUGUGGAAAGGUGGUAGCAUUGUCCCUUCUCUCUUUUUAUCUCAUUUUUUUGGUGGGCUCUUUGGCCUCUUUUUUUUGGUGGGCAUAUUUGGCCUCUUUUAUUUCCUCACAUGGGACAAUGUUCCAUCAAUGAUGAUCAUCACACUUACAACUCAAAACUUAGAGCAAUUAUGACUCUAUAUGGAAUGCCUUCGGUAGUGUAUCGUGACAAUGAUCUAGCAUGGCAUAGACAUCAAUGGAAACAUCAUGCUAGCUAUCUUACGAUCAUGCAAUGGCAAUGUAGAAGUGGUGGCACAUGUCAUGGUGGUAGUCGUAUGGCAAUAUAUCUCGGAAUAGCUUUGAAAAAGCCAUAGUAGGUAGGUAUGGUGGCUGUUUUGAGGGAUCCUAUAUGGGUGGUUUUGUGCACCGGCGAAAGUUGCACGGCACUAAAGAAGAUAGUGAUGGUCGAAGGUGAAAGUGCAUCUAAACCAUGGACUCAACAUUAGUCGUGAAGAACUCAUAUACUUGUUGCAAAAGUUUUAGUAGUAAUUGAAACAAAGCAUUCAACGCAUACUCCUAGGGGAAGGGUUGGUAGGUAUAAACCAUCGUGGGAUCCCGACCGCCACACAAAGGAUGACAAUCAAUAGACUAAUCAUGCUCAGACUUCAUCACAUAGCGGUUCACCAUACGUGCAUGCUACGGGAAUCACUAACUUCAACACAAGUAUUUCUAGAUCCACAACACCUUACUAAUAUAACUUCAAUAUUACCACAACCACAACUCAAAACUAAUUGAGAUGAAUCAAAUUUCUCUAACUAUUGAAUGCACAUGAAGGUGGAAGUUUUCAUAUCCCUUUGGAUAACUACCCCUUUUGAGACUACUAUCAUAGUGAAAGUGCAGUCAUGCCCUUAAUCGUGUUUUGGUAUUAAUGACAACGCACAUAUAGAUAACUAAUCACUAAUCCCCUUUAAGCUAUUGUGAAUGAUCAUGUGUUGAUAAGGACAAGCUCAUGUGCUAACAAGGACAAGAUCAAGAUAAGCAUUCCUCAGCACUACAUGCUUGACUCUUGUGGAUGUUCACAUGGUGGACAAAUGAAGAUGAAUAUAUAAGCUAGGCUUUCCACAUUGUGUAUGGGAGAGCUACUUGAAGACUUCAUCAUGUCUUGCUUUCGACAUUGAGCCAUGAAGGAACAACAACAUCAAGCUCAAGUGAAAGGGCUAACUCAAGGUAUCAGUUCCUUUGAAGUUAGCGGUGCGGAGUGAUGAUCAGCGAAUAAAGUAUACACUCAAGUAUGGAUCAUCGGUACCCCUUUUACAAUUCUUGAGUCUUUAGGGAUCCCGCACUAUUAAGAGGGGAUCACAGGUUUUGUGAUGAACUUGCUCAAACUACAUCUUCACUAUUCUGCUCAAUACCACAUAUUCUCUACUCUGCUCCUAUCUCAAAACAGGUCUAAUGCCUCGGACUUCCGGCUCCCUCCGGACGACCGAGGGCCGGUCGAGGGUCGGACGACCGACACGCUUUGGAAAUCCGGAGCCCCGCACCAGAAGAACUUAAGCCAUAUAACUCGGAUUUCCGGCUCCCUCCAGACAUCCGAGGGCCGGUCGACCGACCAGCUUCGAAAAUCCGGAGCCCUGCACGAGAAGAACGUGAGCCAUAUAACUCGGACUUCCGGCUCCCUCCGGACGUCCGAGGGCCGGACGUCCGUCCCCUUUCGGAAAUCCGGAACCUUGCACCAGAAGAAGUUGAGUCGAAUAACUCGGACUUCCCGCCUUCUCCGGACGUCCGGUCCGUGUUCAACUCACAGUGUUCCCAGACAUAUCUACAGCCCUCGGACGACCGACUCCUGUCGGACGUCCGACCCCUUGUGGACGCCCAGACUUCCGUAAACUGCCGGACGUCCGAAUCCUGUGUGACUUAAAGUGUCCCCAACGGCUGUUUUACACUCCCCACUAUAUAUACCCCCUCCCACUUCGUGAGAGGGUGCCCAACACAGCCUUAUCCUCAUAAGAACGCAUUUUUACCUCACACACAUUUGCUCAUACCAAAUCUUGGAUCCCAAGAGCAUUUGUGAGCCCCUUUGAGAGUUGUUCCAAUCAAAAGAUAGAUCGUCUCCCUCUCCUCCUCUCAACCCAAGCUAUUUGAGAUUUGAGCAAGUUUUGAGCAUUCCCCGUGAUCUUGUUACUCUUGGAGGUUGGAGACUCCUAAGCGGUAGGAUUCUUCGGAGAGGAAUCAAUCCGUGUGAUUACCACCGGAAAAGUUUGUGAGGGUUUGGAAGCCACCUCAAAGGCUUACCACUAGUGGUUGAGAAACACCUUCGUGGUGUUAUCUCAAAGGGAGAAUAGGGUGAGCCUUCGUGGCGUUGGUGUGCCUUCGUGGUAACAUCCACCUCUCUAACGGUGACUAGCUUCCCUCCAAGGAAUUGAACAUCGGGAUACAUCUUCGUCUCAAUGACCUUGGUUAUCCUUAACCCUAACUGCUGUUGAAAAUAUGCCCUAGAGGCAAUAAUAAAAUGGUUAUUAUCAUAUUUCCUUGUUCAUGAUAAUCGUUUAUCGUUCAUGCUAUAAUUGUAUUAACAGGAAACAGUAAUACAUGUGUGAAUGAAUAGAUCACAAUGUGUCCGUAGCAAGCCUCUAGUUGGCUAGCUCGUUAGUCAAUAGAUGAUCAUGGUUUCCUGAUCAUGGACAUUGGAUGUCAUUAAUAACGGGAUCACAUCAUUUGGAGAAUGAUGUGGUGGACAAGACCCAAUCCUAAGCCUAGCACUAGAUCGUAUUGUUCGUAUGUUAAUGCUUUUCUAAUGUCAAGUAUCUUUUCCUUCGACCGUGAGAUUGUGCAACUCCCGGAUACCGUAGGAGUGCUUUGGGUGUAUCAAACGUCACAACGUAACUGGGUGACUAUAAAGGUGCACUACGGGUAGCUCCGAAAGUGUCUGUUGGGUUGGCACGAAUCGAGAUCGGGAUUUGUCACUCCGUGUGACGGAGAGGUAUCUCUGGGCCCACUCGGUAGAACAUCAUCAUGAGCUCAAUGUGACUAAGGAGUUAGUCACACGAUGACGUGCUACGGAACGAGUAAAGAGACUUACCGGUAACGAGAUUGAACAAGGUAUAGGUAUACCGACGAUCGAAUCUCGGGCAAGUUCUAUACCAACAGACAAAGGUAAUCGUAUACGGGAUUGAUUGAAUCCUUGACAUCGUGGUUCAUCCGAUGAGAUCAUCGUGGAGAUAGUGGGAGCCACCAUGGGUAUCCAGACCCCGCUGAUGGUUAUUGGCCAGAGAGGUGUCUCGGUCAUGUCUGCCUGUCUCCCGAACCCAUAGGGUCUACACACUUAAGGUUCGAUGACGCUAGGGUUAUAGGGAAUUGUUGUACGAGGUUACCGAUAGUUAUUCGGAGUCCCGGAUGAGAUCCCGGACGUCACGAGGAGCUCCGGAAUGGUCCGGAGGUAAAGAUUGAUAUAUAGGACGGAUGGUUUCGGACACCGGAAGUGUUUCGGGCAUCACCGGUAACGUACCGGGACCACCGGGACCACCGAAGGGGGGUGACGACCCCGGGAGGCUAGAUGGGCUAAGUGGGGAAGGGAACCAGCCCCUAAGUGGGCUGGUGCGCCCCCCACCCAGCCCAUGUGCACCAGAAAAAAGGGGAAGGGGGAACCCUAACUAAGGUGGGCCUUAGGCCCACCAGAGGGGUGCGCCACCCCUCCUCCUUGCCCUGGCCGCCACUCCCCCCAUCUGGGAGGGCUGCCGCACCCCCUAGGGUGGGAACCCUAGGGGUGGCAACCCCUCUCCCCUUCCCCUAUAUAUAGUGGGCACUUUUGGCCUUUGGAGGACACGGUUUUCCCUCUCCCUCGGCGCAGCCCUGCACUUCUUCCUCCUCCUCUCUGCCGGCGCUUGGCGAAGCCCUGCCGGGAGACCUCGUCUCUCCACCAACACCACGCCGUCGUGUUGCUGGUCUUCUUCCCCAACCUCUCCCUCCUCCUUGCUGGAUCAAGGUGCGGGAGACGUCACCGGGCUGCACGUGUGUUGAACGCGGAGGUGCCGUUGUUCGGCACUAGAUCGGAAUCGCUGCGAGUACGACUCCAUCAACCGCGUUCUAGCAACGCUUCCGCUUAGCGAUCUUCAAAGGUACGAAGAUGCUCUUACCCCUCUCUCGUUGCUGGUCUCUCCAUAGGAAGAUCUGAACAUGCGUAGGAUUUUUUUUGAAUUUAUGCUACGUUACCCAACAGUGGUAUCAGAGCCAGGUUUUCUAUGCGUAGAUUCUAUGCACGAGUAGAACACAAAAGUUGUGGGCGAUGGUUUGUCGAUUUGCUUGCCGUUACUAGUCUUAUUCUUUUCCGGCGGUAUUGUGGGAUGAAGCGGCCCGGACCGACCUUACACGUACGCUUACGUGAGACUGGUUCCACCGACAGACAUGCACAUCGUGCAUAAAGGUGGCUAGCGGGUGUCUGUCUCUCCUACUCUAGUCGGAUUGGAUUUGAUGAAAAGGGUCCUUAUGAAGGGUAAAUAGCUUUGGCAUAUCAUCGUUGUGGCUGUCACGUAGGUAAGAAGGCGUUCUUGCUAGAAACCCAAAUCAGCCACGUAAAACUUGCAACAACAAUUAGAGGACGUCUAACUUGUUUUUGCAGGGUUUGACAUGUGAUGUGAUAUGGCCAAAGUUGUGGUGUUGCAUGUAUGAUGUAUGAGAUGAUCAUGUUAUUGUAAUAGGUUUCACGACUUGCAUGUCGAUGAGUAUGACAACCGGCAGGAGCCAUAGGAGUUGUCUUAAUUUAUUGUAUGAGAUGCAACGCCAUGUGCUUACUAUUUUACUUCAUUGCUAACGGUUAGCCAUAGUAGUAGUGAUAGUAGUAGUUGGCGUGACGACUUCACGGAGACACGAUGAUGGAGAUCAUGGUGUCACGCCAGUGACAAUGAUGAUCAUGCGAUGCCUGAAGAUGGAGAUCGAAAGAGCAAAGAUGAUAAUGGCCAUAUCAUGUCACUAUAUGAUUGCAUUGUGAUGUUUAUCAUGUUUUAUAUCUUAUUGCUUUAAACAACGGUAGCAUAAUAAGAUGAUCCCUCUUAAAAUUUCGAGAACGUAUUCCCCUAAGUGUGCACCGUUGCGAAGGUUCGUUGUCUCGAAGCACCACGUGAUGAUCGGGUGUGAUAGAUUCUAACGUUCGCAUACAACGGGUGUAAGCCAGAUUUACACACGCGAAACACCUAGGUUGACUCGACGAGCUUAGCAUGUACAGACAUGACCUCGAAUACAAGAGACCGAAAGGUCGAACAUGAGUCGUAUGGUUGAAUACGAUCAGCAUGGAGUUGCUCACCAUGGUGACUAGUCCGUCUCACGUGAUGAUCGGACACGGGUUAGUCAACAUGGAUCAUGUAUCACUUAGAUGACUAGAGGGAUGUCGAUUUAAGUGGGAGUUCAUACUUAAUUUGAUUAAAUGAACUUAAUUGUCAUGAACUUAGUCUAAAAGUUGUCUUUACAAAUAUUGUAGAUGUCCAACGUCAACCUCAACUUCAACGCAUUCCUAGAGAAAAACAAGCUGAAAGAUGAUGGUAACAACUAUGCGGACUGGGUUCGCAACCUGAAGCUCAUCCUUGAAGCAGCUAAAAAGGCUUAUGUACUUAAUGCGCCGCUAGGUGACCCUCCCUCUCCCGCAGCAGCCCAGGACAUUCUAAACGUCUGGCAAGCGCGGAGUGAUGACUACUCUCUGGUCAGGUGUGGCAUGUUAUACAGUUUAGAAACGGGGCUCCAAAGACGUUUUGAGCAACACGGGGCAUAUGAGAUGUUCCAAGAGCUGAAGCUAGUUUUUCAAGCUCAUGCCCGUGUCGAGAGAUAUGAAGUCUCCGACAAGUUCUUCAGCUGUAAGAUGGAGGAGAACAGUUCUGUCAGUGAGCACAUACUCAAAAUGUCUGGGUUACACGGUCGUCUGACUUCACUUGGAGUCGAACUUCCGGAUGAUGCUAUCAUUGACAGAAUCCUCCAGUCUCUCCCACCAAGCUACAAAGGCUUUGUGCUUAACUACAACAUGCAAGGGAUGGAGAAAACCAUUCCCGAGUUGUACUCGGUGCUCAAGUCUGCAGAAGUAGAAAUCAAGAAGGAGCAUCAAGUGUUGAUGGUCAACAAGACCACUAGUUUCAAGAAAGGCAAGGGUAAGAAGAACUUCAAGAAAGACGGCAAAGCUGUUGCCGCGCCCGGUAAGCCAGAUGCCGGGAAGAAGAAAAAGAACGGACCCAAGCCUGAGACUGAGUGCUUCUACUGCAAGGGAAAAGGUCACUGGAAGCGGAACUGCCCCAAAUACUUAGCGGACAAGAAGGCCGACAACGUUAAAGGUAUAUGUGAUAUACAUGUUAUUGAUGUGUACCUUACCAGCGCUCGUAGUAGCUCCUGGGUAUUUGAUACCGGUGCUGUUGCUCACAUUUGCAACUCAAAGCAGGAACUGCGGAAUAAGCGGAGACUGGCCAAGGACGAGGUGACGAUGCGCGUCGGGAAUGGUUCAAAGGUCGAUGUGAUCGCCGUCGGCACGCUACCUCUACAUCUACCGUCGGGAUUAGUUUUAAACCUUAAUAACUGUUAUUUAGUACCAACUUUAAGCAUGAACAUUGUAUGAGGGUCUUGCUUAAUGCGAGACGGCUACUCAUUUAAGUCAGAUAAUAAUGGUUGUUCUAUUUAUAUGAGUGAUAUGUUUUAUGGUCAUGCUCCGCUGGUGAAUGGUUUAUUCUUGAUGAAUCUCGAUCGUGAUGUUACACAUAUUCAUAGUGUGAGUACCAAAAGAUGCAAAGUUGAUAAUGAUAGUCCCACAUACUUGUGGCACUGCCGCCUUGGUCAUAUCGGCGUUAAGCGCAUGAAGAAGCUCCAUACUAAUGGACUGCUAGAGUCUCUUGACUUUGAAUCAUUUGACACAUGCGAACCGUGCCUCAUGGGCAAGAUGACUAAGACUCCAUUCUCAGGAAUAAUGGAGAGAGCAACCGACUUAUUGGAAAUAAUACAUACUGAUGUGUGUGGUCCAAUGAACGUUGAAGCUCGCGGUGGUUAUCGUUAUGUUCUCACUCUCACCGAUGAUUUGAGCAGGUAUGGGUAUAUCUACUUGAUGAAGCACAAAUCUGAGACGUUUGAAAAGUUCAAGGAAUUUCAGAGUGAGGUUGAGAAUCAACGUGACAGAAAAAUUAAAUGUCUACGAUCUGAUCGUGGAGGAGAAUAUUUGAGUCACGAAUUUGGCACACACCUAAGGAAGUGUCGAAUCGUUUCACAACUGACGCCGCCUGGCACACCGCAGCGCAACGGAGUGUCUGAACGUCGUAAUCACACUUUAUUAGAUAUGGUACGAUCUAUGAUGUCUCUCACCGACUUACCGCUAUCAUUUUGGGGAUACGCAUUAGAAACUGCAACGUUCACUUUAAAUAGGGCACCGUCUAAAUCCGUUGAGACGACACCGUAUGAACUGUGGUUUGGCAAGAAACCUAAUUUGUCGUUUCUUAAAGUUUGGGGCGGCGAUGCUUAUGUGAAGAAACUUCAACCAGAAAAGCUCGAACCCAAAGCGGAGAAAUGCGUAUUCAUAGGAUACCCUAAGGAAACUAUUGGGUAUACCUUCUAUCUUAGAUCCGAAGUAAAACCUUUGUUGCCAAGAACGGAUCCUUUCUAUAGAAAGAGUUUCUCUCGAAAGAAGUAAGUGGGAGGAAGGUAGAACUUGAUGAGGUAAUUACACCCCCUCUCGAACAGGAAAGUAGCGCAGCGCAAGAAGUUGUUCCUGUGGUGCCUACACCGACUGAAGAGGAAGUUAAUGAUGAUGAUCAUGAAGCUUCGGAUCAAGUUACUACUGAACCGCGAAGGUCCACAAGGGUACGCUCCGCACCAGAGUGGUACGGCAACCCUGUGAUGGAAAUCAUGUUGUUAGACAACGGUGAACCUUCGAACUAUGAAGAAGCGAUGGCGGGCCCGGAUUCCAACAAAUGGCUUGAGGCCAUGAAAUCCGAGAUAGGAUCCAUGUAUGAGAACAAAGUAUGGACUUUGGUGGACUUGCCCGAUGACCGGCGAGCCAUAGAAAAUAAAUGGAUCUUCAAGAAGAAGACUGAUGCAAACGGUAAUGUAACCGUUUACAAAGCUCGACUUGUCGCAAAGGGUUUUCGACAGAUUCAAGGAGUUGACUACAAAGAGACUUUCUCUCCCGUAGCGAAGCUGAAAUCAGUCCGAAUCAUGUUAGCAAUUGCCGCCUUUUAUGAUUAUGAAAUUUGGCAAAUGGACGUCAAAACGGCGUUCCUUAACGGGAACCUUAAGGAAGAGUUGUAUAUGAUGCAACCAGAAGGUUUUGUCGACCCUAAGGGUGCUAACAAAGUAUGCAAGCUCCAGCGCUCCAUCUAUGGGCUGGUGCAAGCAUCUCGGAGUUGGAACAUUCGCUUUAAUGAAGUGAUUAAAGCGUUUGGGUUCAUACAGGUUUACGGAGAAGCCUGUCUGUACAAGAAAGUGAGUGGGAGCUCUGUAGCUUUCCUCGUACUAUAUGUGGAUGCCAUAUUAUUGAUGGGGAAUGAUAUAGAGAUGUUGGAGAGCAUAAAGGCCUAUUUGAACAAGAGUUUUUCAAUGAAGGACCUUGGAGAAGAUGCAUACAUAUUAGGCAUCAAGAUCUAUAGAGAUAGAUCGAGACGCCUCAUAGGUCUUUCGCAAAGUACAUACCUUGACAAGAUAUUGAAGAAGUUCAAUAUGGAAAACUCAAAGAAAGGGCUCUUGCCAGUUUUGCAAGGUAUGAGAUUGAGUAAGACUCAGUCGCCGACCACAGCAGCAGAUAGAGAGAAGAUGAGUUCUGUCCCCUACGCUUCAGCCGUGGGCUCUCUAAUGUAUGCCAUGCUGUGUACCAGACCUGAUAUAAACCUUGCCAUAAGCUUGGUAGGGAGGUACCAAAGUAAUCCCGGUGCGGAACACUGGACAGCGGUCAAGAAUAUCCUUAAGUAUCUGAAAAGGACUAAGGAAAUGUUUCUCGUUUAUGGAGGUGACGAAGAGCUCGUCGUAAAGGGUUACGUCGACGCUAGCUUCGACACAGAUCCGGAUGACUCUAAGUCACAAACCGGAUACGUAUAUGUGUUGAAUGGUGGGGCAGUGAGCUGGUGCAGCAGCAAGCAAGAAGUCGCGGCAGCAUCUACAUGUGAAGCGGAGUACAUAGCUGCUUCAGAAGCGGCUCAUGAAGGAAUUUGGAUGAAGGAGCUCAUCACCGACCUUGGAGUGGUUCCAAGCGCGUCGGGUCCUAUGACACUCUUCUGUGAUAACACUGGAGCCAUUGCCAUAGCCAAAGAGCCCAGGUUCCACCGGAAGACGAAGCACAUCAAACGCGCUACAACUCCAUCCAGGACCAUGUCCAGAGUGGAGUGAUAGAUAUUUGUAAAGUACACACAGAUCUGAAUAUAGCAGACCCGUUGACUAAACCUCUUCCACGAGCAAAACAUGAUCAACACCAUAAUGCUAUGGGUGUUCGAUACAUCACAAUGUAACUAGAUUAUUGACUCUAGUGCAAGUGGGAGACUGUUUAAAAUAUGCCCUAGAGGCAAUAAUAAAAUGGUUAUUAUCAUAUUUCCUUGUUCAUGAUAAUCGUCUAUCGUUCAUGCUAUAAUUGUAUUAACAGGAAAUAGUAAUACACGUGUGAAUGAAUAGAUCACAAUGUGUCCCUAGCAAGCCUCUAGUUGGCUAGCUCGUUAGUCAAUAGAUGAUCAUGGUUUCCUGAUCAUGGACAUUGGAUGUCAUUGAUAACGGGAUCACAUCAUUGGGAGAAUGAUGUGGUGGACAAGACCCAAUCCUAAGCCUAGCACUAGAUCGUAUUGUUCGUAUGCUAAUGCUUUUCUAAUGUCAAGUAUCUUUUCCUUCGACCAUGAGAUUGUGCAACUCCCGGAUACUGUAGGAGUGCUUUGGGUGUAUCAAACGUCACAACGUAACUGGGUGACUAUAAAGGUGCACUACGGGUACCUCCGAAAGUGUCUGUUGGGUUGGCACGAAUCGAGAUCGGGAUUUGUCACUCCGUGUGACGGAGAGGUAUCUCUGGGCCCACUCGGUAGAACAUCAUCAUGAGCUCAAUGUGACUAAGGAGUUAGUCACACGAUGACGUGCUACGGAACGAGUAAAGAGACUUACCGGUAACGAGAUUGAACAAGGUAUAGGUAUACCGACGAUCGAAUCUCGGGCAAGUUCUAUACCGACAGACAAAGGUAAUCGUAUACGGGAUUGAUUGAAUCCUUGACAUCGUGGUUCAUCCGAUGAGAUCAUCGUGGAGAUAGUGGGAGCCACCAUGGGUAUCCAGACCCCGCCGAUGGUUAUUGGCCAGAGAGGUGUCUCGGUCAUGUCUGCCUGUCUCCCGAACCCAUAGGGUCUACACACUUAAGGUUCGAUGACGCUAGGGUUAUAGGGAAUUGUUGUACGAGGUUACCGAUAGUUAUUCGGAGUCCCGUAUGAGAUCUCGGACGUCACGAGGAGCUCCGGAAUGGUCUGGAGGUAAAGAUUGAUAUAUAGGACGGAUGGUUUCGGACACCGGAAGUGUUUCGGGCAUCACCGGUAACGUACCGGGACCACCGAAGGGGGGUGACGACCCCGGGAGGCUAGAUGGGCUAAGUGGGGAAGGGAACCAGCCCCUAAGUGGGCUGGUGCGCCCCCCACCCAGCCCAUGUGCACUAGAAAAAAGGGGAAGGGGGAACCCUAACUAAGGUGGGCCUUAGGCCCACCAGAGGGGUGCGCCACCCCUCCUCCUUGCCCUGGCCGCCACUCCCCCCAUCUGGGAGGGCUGCCGCACCCCCUAGGGUGGGAACCCUAGGGGUGGCAACCCCUCUCCCCUUCCCCUAUAUAUAGUGGGCACUUUUGGCCUUUGGAGGACACGGUUUUCCCUCUCCCUCGGCGCAGCCCUGCACUUCUUCCUCCUCCUCUCUGCCGGCGCUUGGCGAAGCCCUGCCGGGAGACCUCGUCUCUCCACCAACACCACGCCGUCGUGUUGCUGGUCUUCUUCCCCAACCUCUCCCUCCUCCUUGCUGGAUCAAGGUGCGGGAGACGUCACCGGGCUGCACGUGUGUUGAACGCGGAGGUGCCGUUGUUCGGCACUAGAUCGGAAUCGCUGCGAGUACGACUCCAUCAACCGCGUUCUAGCAACGCUUCCGCUUAGCGAUCUUCAAAGGUACGAAGAUGCUCUUACCCCUCUCUCGUUGCUGGUCUCUCCAUAGGAAGAUCUGAACAUGCGUAGGUUUUUUUUUGAAUUUAUGCUACGUUACCCAACAACUACUUACUUGUGGUUUACUUGUGUUACUUGAGCAUACAUACAUUGCAUAUUGGUUGUGCUCAUUAUAUUGUGUUGGCCAUUUCUUGUACAAGAUUAAUCAUUCAAGCAUACCCUCUAUAUCCACAUGUUCACACUUGCAGCUUUUGAUAUAUCGUGUGCUAUAGUGUGAUCUAGUAUCUUGUGUCGUUCACCUACUUGUCGUGUGAUAUAGCUCAAGUAAGUUUGUGUAACUUACUUGUGCUUAUUAGUAACUGUGUUGUGUCCAUCUUGGUAGAUCAUGUUGUUGAUACAUGUUGCAGUGCCUAGUGCAUUUAGGAUUUGUGCUUGACAAGUAUCCUCUUAGUUUAUUUCCGCAUUAGGUUUAAGUCAAAUCCAAAGAAGUUUUUAAAUAGCCUAUUCACCCCCCUCUAGGCGUCAUCGAGGUGUUUUCAAUUGGUAUCAGAGCAAGAUCUCUCUUUAAUUAGGUUUCACGACCUAGAGAGUAUCGAUGUCGACUAUUGGAUUAGUGCACAAUGACACCUUUGACUUUGAUGGCACAAAUUAUACCCUAUGGAGAAUUUGUAUGCUUCAUCACUUUCGGGCCAUGGGCCCAAAUACUUUACGAAUUGUUCUUGUAGGGAUUGCUGACGAAAAGGAUGAUUCAUCUUCAUCUACUAAUGAAAUGUGUCUUGAUUGUGAGGCUUUUCUUGCCAUUCAUGAACCAUAAGUCCUGAAGUGUUUAAGUCUAUCUCGACUUGCAAGUCAGCUCAUGAAGUUUGGACUAAACUUGAAGAUAUAUAUGGUGGGUCCAAUCUUGAUGAAGACGAUAUUAUGAUGAAGGAGUUGGUGCAUGAGCUCUUCACUCUUUUUGAUCAUAAAGAGUCCACCACUACUUCCAUAUCCGAUUGCUUGCACACCUCAGCAUCUUCAAUCUCACAAGGUAACGAUAUGGUGAGUGAAGAAAUACAUGUUGAUGAAAAUGUCAUAGCCUCCAUGGACAUGAGCAUAUCUAGCACCACACAUGGUGUAAUUAUUGUGCUGAUAGAUCAUGCAUUUCACCUAAAGAUCCCUCGACAAAUGUCUGUGGUGAUAUGCCUGCUUUCCCGUGUCCUCUUGAUCAAAAUAUCCUGUUUCUCCCUAGUUUUUCUAUGACUAAUCAUUUAAAGGAAACCAAGAAAUAUGAAGUACUUUUGACUAAUGAAGAAUCUGAUUCACCAAAAGAAACAUCAUCAACUCCUCCAGUUCACAUGUGCCUCAUGGCAAGAGGUAAUAAUGAGGUAUCAUCUUCCCUGUGCAAUAAAGAUGAUACUUGCGAUGAGGAUGAUGAUGAUGACUUGACUGAAAACAUCUAUGUGAUUAGUAAAAUUCUUCAUAAAGCUAAAAAUAACGCUCUUCAAAGAUUCCAAGAUAUUCUUGCUUACUUUGAAAAUUGUAAUGAUUCACUUAAUCAUGAACAAGCUAAAAGUGAACAACUUGAACAUGAACUUGAGAAGAGUCACCAAGCAUGUAGAGACUUAAGAUCUUCAAAAGGAGAGAUUGAAGUUGCUCAUGAUAAACUUAAAAAGGAUUUGGAGGUCCUUCUCCUUGAAUGCAAGAAUGUCAAGGGAGAGCUCAUCAAAACCUCUAAGAUCUAUGAGGAGCUUCAAUCUACUCAUGAGAAGUCUCUAAUCGCUACUUACUCCUCUCAUAUUGUUGAUGAUACUUGUAUACCUAACCCUAUCUCUUUUGAAGUAUCAACAUAGAAGGAGAAUGUUGAGCUACAUGCUCAAUUUGAUUUACUAACUAGCAAUUAUGGGAAGUUGGAAGAAAACCAUGCAAUGCUCACAAGCUCUCAUGCCGGUCUUCUAACAUCCCAUAAUGUGCAAAAGUUAGCUCAUGAGGCUAUCAUCACCAAGGUAACAUCAAGUGAGCCUCAUGUGGACAAUGGCACCACUUCCUGUGUGAUGAAUUACUUUCCUUGCCUUGUUGCUCUAACAUUGAAACUUACACUUCCUCUAGUACUUGCAUUGACACUAAUCGUGCAUAGGAAAUCGAAGAGCUCAAGGCCCAACUCACUUCUUUGAAGAAAGACUUGGAACAGUGUCAUGAAGGGAUGUCCACACUCAACAACGUCCUGUGUGAGCAAACAUCUUUGAAUGACAAAAAUGAUGUUGGAGUAAACUCAAACAAGAACAAGAGUGGCCUAGAACGAGUUAAGAAUUCGGCAAUAUCAUUUGCUUCAAGUGCAAAGUUAAAGGGCACCAUGUUAGAUCUUGGCCUCUGAAGACGAAGUCUCAAAGUCACAAGCAACAAGGGAAGCGGAUCCGUUCUUGGCAACACGUGGUUAUCCUAUAACUGUGUGGCGUGUCAUGCUCCACAUAUCUUAAUUCGCAUAAUAAGCCAUGUUGGUAUCUAAAUCCCUUAGAUGUGCGUGAGUAUAAUGUCCUACUACACCAAUGCUCAUGGCUUAGCCGCUAGAUCGUAUCUAAAAGAAGGGCAUUGUUGAUGCAUGCCUUUCGAAUUAAUCCUCCACACUAUGAUCUAACUAAUUGGGAUGUUAACGUAUGUCAUCUAAACAUUAUGCUUAUGGUUGAACUCCCAUAUCACACUUGUGUGAGUAUAAAACGAUCCUUGUGCUCGUUUGGCACCUACCACCACUGAUAACUUUAAAUGUCAUUGUGUUCUCUCACACAUGGUAUCUCUGGCUUGGUAGUGUUUUUCAUGGUCUUUUUAUUUCGGCCUUAUCUUCAGUUGACCUACAUAACGUGCCGAUAAAUUCAUGUGUCUCCUGGUAGAGCUCGCACUAUUUAUUUCAUAAUGUUGUGGGAGUUACAAUCAUAUUACCUACACUUAUAAAUCUACUGGGGUGAGACAUGCAUGUAAGGUUGUGCAAAAUGCAUGCCUUACAUGGCUUGAUGCCUUGACCAGUUCAUGUGUUGAACUUGGGGUGCUACCAUGUGUUGAUUUGUCACCCUGAUUCAUUUUGGACGACAUGAAUGUUCUGUAAUAGAAAAUUAUGUGUUCAUUCGUCCAAAUUGUAUAUCCUUGGAUUUUGAUAGGAUUGUGUAGGCAUAUCUACUAUGUGUAGAUGCACAUGCCGUGUCUAUCGUAUCUUUGAUCCAAUAUAUGUAUAUGGUAAAUUAGACGUAUUCAUUAAAAAGGUUAGGGUGUGCUUGAAAGUAAAACUUAUAUCUAUAUGCACAUAAUUGAGUUAUCUUACCCUAUAUAUAUAUUGUAGUUGGACUAACUACUUCGGACCCAAUAAGUUUGGGGACCAUAUUGUGCUUAAUUGGUGGUUUAGGUACUUUGGAGAAGCAUUGCUAUCUUGACUUAUUCUCAGAAAAGGAUGGUGCUAGUCACGAAGAAAUUAGAGUCAAGACAGGACUCGGCUACCUCUACGUCAUACCAAUGCUUUUCCGGUAACAAGUAUUUACUUCAUGCAUGUACAAUAUUAGAGUCAACACUGUGUAGGUUGCAUCAUGGCAUGAACAUAAUACUUUUUCCACUUUGUAAUUUCCUACAUGUCCUUGUCAAUCACAUUGAUGAAAUGCUUAGUGUUGGUGUUCUCUUAGCUCUUCAUGGUCAUAUGAAUGAGACAAAUUUGUGCCAUGACCCUUGUGUCAUGUGCCUUGCUCUUAUAAGAGGAUAACUUGUGCAUGAUUCUAUGCACUCAUGCGUUUGACGUAUUUUGGACCCACAUUUAUCGUAGUAAUCGUAUUAAAAGACGUACAUCAGACCAUGUCCAAAAUAUGUUAGUUGAGAGGUCCCUUUUGGCUGCUACACAUGCGAGAAUACUUAGUAUCACCUCAUCAUAUAAAAAAAUUCCAGAAUCAGCUUCUGCCUCCUCCUCUCUCUCGGUCGUCCGACGUGUCUCGGACGUUCGGCGGAAAAUCUCAUUCCGGUCGUCCGACCAGUGUCGGUCGUCCGACGACACAAUUCUCUCCGGACGUCCGACGCCUGUCGGACGUCCGACGCUUCGGGGCCUAUAAAUAGCUGGGCACGGGGCUGGGCUUUGCCCUAGCCCUCACGCGCCCCCUUUUUCCCCUGCCGCCGCUGCCAGCUCCAGUAGCACUCGCCAGUGCCGCCACUCCCGAGAUCUGCCCGAUCUCCUCCGUGGAUCCUCCUCUUCUUCCUCCGCGGGAUCCGUCUCCAGGAUAUUGUGCACCAUGCCAAGACCAAGCACGCCGCACGGAAGAACAUUGCUGGCUCAUCCUCUCGCGCCCCUACUAGCACGGGGUCGGACUCGGAUGGGCCACGUCGUCCCUUCAAACGGACUGCCCAGCGUUCUCCGACCCGGCGUUCUCCGUCUCCACAGCUCCCCUCGUCGUCUGAUGGUGAUGACCCCGACUUCGAGGAUGAGCUUGCCGCCGAGGACCUUGCUGACCAGCCCGCCGAUCGGAGGUCCAAGCCGAAGCCCGGGACUCGCAGGGCGUCGUACAUGCCACCACCUCCUCCUGCUCAGCCCGCAGGUGUAGCUCGUCGCAUCUCACUAGAACCCCCUGCUACUUUAGGUCAUGCAAUAACAAACUUCACCACAUUUGGCGCGUCUUCAUACCUCACUUUCCGCCGCGACAUUGAUCAAUACGCUGUCGUACGUGACUCUACGGACUCACAUUUCCGCACACACGUCCAGGUGGACAUUUUUACUACAGUCAUAGUUCCUAAGGGUUUAUCUGUUCAUCUCUAUAUAGAUCUUGAGCAUAUUCGCAUGCACCCGGCGAAAUACCCGGGUGCCAUUGAGCUUAUUGAGGCAUGGGGGCUUGCCGCCCCGUUUGCCUUUCAUCGCAACUUUAAUGCUGCUGCCAUUCACCAGUUCUAUGCCACAUGCUUAUUUGCUUCAAACCACACUGUUAGCUGGAUCACCUCUGACGUUCGCUUCACAGCUUCUUAUGAUACAUUUGUUGCCGCACUUGGUUUCCCCAACUCCGGCUUCAAAAUUCAUAGGGAUGAUCCUAACCAUGCGCCUAAGUCCAUUGAGGCGUGUGGGUAUCUUCUCAAACCACUAAGUGAGCUGGAUGCGGAUGAACGCAUGAAGGAUCUUAACCAGGUAUCCAUCUGGCGCUCACCUUACUUCAUCAUCUUUCAGUGUCUUAUCCGCACCCUCUAUCCCAAGAUGGGUGAUAAGGGCUCUUGAAGUGGCUACUGUAUUGACAUCAUGUCUCACUUAUACGAGCACCCCAGGAGCAAAAUUAAUGUGCCUCACUUUCUAUGGCAUGAGAUUCGGCUUGCUAGCUUUCAAUACAAGCGAGCCUUUCCUCAUGCCCCCUUCAUCCAGGCUCUUAUUAAUCAUGUUGCUGAUUUCUCUGUUGCUGUCACUCACACACAUCGCAAGUGGGUCAUUCCCGCUCACAUGGCGGAUAACUUUGCUCCCAAGAAAGCCCCAUCCUCCACAUCCACUCACCGCACUGCUGCCCGGUCAGCCACCCCCUCAUCUAGCACCGCUCCUCUCGGUCACAUUGCCAAAUUUCUUGGCAAGGCUCAUUCUGCUAUGAUGAAGGCCGUCUCUUUCCAGUGUGGUCAAACCCAUGAUGUGGUUUCUCGCUUAGUCUCCUCCAAGAAUGCCCUCAAGGCUCGUCUGUGAGCCUCGGGCGCUCUUGAUGUGAGUGAUGAUGAGGCCCCUCCUGCUGCUCCUCCGUCUGACUUUGGCUUCCCAUCUGGUCCUGAGUGGGCUGAUUUCCUUGACGAGGCUGGUGGCAGUGGCUUGCCUGAUGAUGAGGAUGAUGAUGUUGAGGAUGAUGCCUAAUUAAUCAUGAUAUUGAUGAGGGUGAUCCUUGAGUAUGUGAUAGCAUUGCCGGUUUUCCCUCCUUUUUGGUCCUUGAUGCCAAAGGGGGAGAAUAUUAUCUUAUCUUAGUUUCGAUGUUAGUUCCUCUCACAAUGUAUGGUAUGAUGUAUUAUGUCGAACUUAAUGAUGUAUCAUCAUGUAACGAUACUUAUGGAUGGUGUGCUAUGCCAUCACCUAUGGAUGAUGUAUUGUUGAACUAUCAUGUGGAGUUUUAUGCUAUCCUAUUGAUUCAUAUGUUAUGCUAUGUAUUGUUGAACUAUUAUGGUGUUAUAUCAUGAUAUUAUCUUCAAUGCACACAUUAAGGGGGAGCCCCCGCACUUACCUAUUUUACUAUGCAUAUAAUAAGGGGGAGCUUCAUAAGCAUCGUAACAGAACUCUCCUAAGCCACACAUGUCUAUUACUAUUGUUGAGAGCUAUAUGUAUGUUGUCAUCAACUACCAAAAAGGGGGAGAUUGAAAGUGCAGUCAUGCCCUUAAUCAUGUUUUGGUGUUGCUGACAACACACAUAUAGAUAAUUAAUCACUAACCCUUCUUAAGCUAUUGUGAAUGAUCAUGUGUUGAUAAGGACAGGCUCAUGUGCUAACAAGGACAAGAUCAAGAUAAGCAUUCCUGAGCACUACAUGCUUGAUCCUUGUGGAUGUUCACAUGGUGGACAAAUGAAGAUAAAUAUAUAAGCUAGGCUUUCCACAUUGUGUAUGGGAGAGCUACUUGAAGACUUCAUCAUGUCUUGCUUUCAACGUUGAGCCAAGAACGAACAACAACAUCAAGCUCAAGUGAAAGGGCUAACUCAAGGUAACAGUUACUUUGAUGUUAGCGGUGCGGAGUGAUGAUCAGCGAAUAAAAGUACACACUCAAGUAUGGAUCAUCGGUAUCCCUUUUACAAUUCUUGAGUCUUUAGGGAUCCCGCACUAUUAAGAGGGGAUCACAGGUUUUUGUGAUGAACUUGCUCAAACUAGAUAUUCACUAUCCUACUCAAUACCACAUAUUCUCUACUCUGCUCCUAUCUCAAAACAGGUCUAUUUCCUCGGACUUCCGGCUCCCUCCGGACGUCCGAGGGCCGGACGACCGACAGGCUUCGGAAAUCCGGAGCCCUCCACCAGAAGAAAUUGAGCUCUAUAACUCGGACUUCCGGCUCCCUCCGGACGUCCGAGGGCCGGACGACCGGCAGGCUUCGGAAAUCCGGAGCCCUCCACCAGAAGUAUUUGAGUCAUAUAACUCGGAUUUCCGGCUCCCUCCGGACAUCUGAGGGCUGGACGUCCGACCAGCUUCGGAAAUCCGGAGCCCUGCACCAGAAGAACAUGAGCUCUAUAACUCGGAUUUCCGGCUCCCUCCGGACGUCUGAGGGCCGGACGUCCGUCCCCUUUCAGAAAUCCGGAACCUCCCACCAGAAGAAGUUGAGUCGAAUAACUCGGAUUUCCGGUCUUCUCCGGACGUCCGGUCGCUGUUCAAUUCACAGUAUUUUCAGUCAUAUCUACAACCCUCGGACGACCGACCCCUGUCGGACACCCGGACUUCCGGAAACUGUCGGACGUCCGGACCUUGUAUGACUUAAAGUGUCCCCAACGACUGUUUUACACUCCCCACUAUAUAUACCCCUCUCCCACUUCGUGAGAGGGUGCCCAACACAGCCAUAUCCUCAUAAGAACACAUUUCCACCUCACACACAUUUGCUCACACCAAAUCUUAGAUCCCAAGAGCAUUUGUGAGCCCCUUUGAGAGUUGUUCCAAUCAAAAGAUAGAUCGUCUCCCUCUCCUUCUUCACACCAAAGUGAUUUGUGAUUUGAGCAAGUUUUGAGCAAUCCCCGUGAUCUUGUUACUCUUGGAGGUUGGAGACUCCUAGGCGGUAGGAGUUCUUCGGAGAGGAAUCAAUCUGUGUGAUUACCCUCGGAAAAGUUUGUGAGGGUUUGGAAGCCACCUCAAAGGCUUACCACUAGUGGUUGAGAAACGCCUUCGUGGUGUUAUCUCAAAGGGAGAAUAGGGUGAACCUUCGUGGCGUUGGUGUGCCUUCGUGGUAACAUCCACCUCUCUAACGGUGACUAGCUUCCCUCCAAGGAAGUGAACAUCGGGAUACAUCUUCGUCUCAGUGACCUUGGUUAUCCUUAACCCUAACUCCUUACUUGUGGUUUACUUGUGUUACUUGAGCAUACAUACAUUGCAUAUUGUUUGUGCUCAUUAUGUUGUGUUGGCUAUUUCUUUUACAAGGUUAAUCAUUCAAGCAUACCUUCUAUAUCCACACGUUCAUACUUGCAGCAUUUGAUAUAUCGUGUGAUAUAGUGUGAUCUAGUAUCUUGUGUUGUUCACCUACUUGUCGUGUGAUAUAGCUCAAGUAAGUUUGUGUAACUUACUUGUGCUUGUUAGUAACUGUAUUUUGUCCAUCUUGGUAGAUCGUGUUGUUGAUACACGCUGCAGUGCCUAGUGCAUUUAGGAUUUGUGCUUGACAAGUACCCUCUUAGUUUAUUUCCGCAUUAGUUUCAAGCCAAAUCCGAAGAAGUUUUUAAAUAGCCUAUUCACCCCCUCUAGGCGUCAUCGAGGUCUUUUCAACUUUGUAUUGAAGAUCCAAGAGAGAGAAGAAGCCAUCUAGCUACUAACUACGGACCCGUAGGUCUGAAGUGGACUACUCACGAGUCACUAGAGAGGCGAUGAGUUGAUGUAGAAGCCCUCCUACUCCAAAGUCCCCUCCGGCAGGGCACCGGGAAGGGUCUCCAGAUGANNNNNNNNNNNNNNNNNNNNNNNNNNNNNNNNNNNNNNNNNNNNNNNNNNNNNNNNNNNNNNNNNNNNNNNNNNNNNNNNNNNNNNNNNNNNNNNNNNNNCCUACUCGAGGACGAGCAGGAGUUAAGCUUGGGGAUGCUUGAUACGUCUCAAACGUAUCUAUAAUUUUUGAUGAUUUCACGCUGUUAUCUUGCCUUCUUUGUAUGUUUUAUGUACCUUUUAUAUCUUUUUGGGACUAACUUAUUAAUUCAGUGGCAAGUGCCAGUUCCUGUUUUUUCCGUGUUUUUGACUCUUUUCAGAUCUGAUUUUGGAACGGAAUCCAAACGGAAGAAAAACCCUGAAAUGAUUUUUUCUCGAACGGAAGAAGUCCAGGGGCUUUUGGGCCAAGCCAGGUGGGCUCCGGGGAGCCCACAAGCCCCCACUCCGCCACCAGGGGGAGGCGGCGGUGGGCAGGCUUGUGGCCUCCCUGGACGCCCCCUGACCUAGGUCUUUGGUCUAUAAAUUCCCAAAUAUUCCGCAAAAAUUCAGGGGAGCCUUGAAAAUACUUUUCCGCCAUCGCAAGCUUCCGUUUCCGUGAGAUCUCAUCUGGAGACCCUUCCCGGCACCUUGCCGGAGGGGACUUUCGAGUUGGAGGGCUUCUUCAUCAUCAUCAUCGCCCCUCCAAUGACUCGUGAGUAGUUCACUUCAGACCUACGGGUCCGUAGUUAGUAUCUAGAUGGCUUCUUCUCUNNNNNNNNNNNNNNNNNNNNNNNNNNNNNNNNNNNNNNNNNNNNNNNNNNNNNNNNNNNNNNNNNNNNNNNNNNNNNNNNNNNNNNNNNNNNNNNNNNNNNNNNNNNNNNNNNNNNNNNNNNNNNNNNNNNNNNNNNNNNNNNNNNNNNNNNNNNNNNNNNNNNNNNNNNNNNNNNNNNNNNNNNNNNNNNNNNNNNNNNNNNNNNNNNNNNNNNNNNNNNNNNNNNNNNNNNNNNNNNNNNNNNNNNNNNNNNNNNNNNNNNNNNNNNNNNNNNNNNNNNNNNNNNNNNNNNNNNNNNNNNNNNNNNNNNNNNNNNNNNNNNNNNNNNNNNNNNNNNNNNNNNNNNNNNNNNNNNNNNNNNNNNNNNNNNNNNNNNNNNNNNNNNNNNNNNNNNNNNNNNNNNNNNNNNNNNNNNNNNNNNNNNNNNNNNNACACAUCAAGCAGUUGCCAUCAAGGGUAAAAAGAUGGGGGUUUUAUCAUUGGUUUGAGAUUAUCCCUCUACAUCAUGUCAUCUUGCUUAAGGCGUUACUCUGUUCUUAUGGACUUAAUACACUAGAUGCAUGAUGGAUAGCGGUCGACGUGUGNNNNNNNNNNNNNNNNNNNNNNNNNNNNNNNNNNNNNNNNNNNNNNNNNNNNNNNNNNNNNNNNNNNNNNNNNNNNNNNNNNNNNNNNNNNNNNNNNNNNAAACUACACGAGAUUCUAAGCAAGUUUCAUAUAGGACACGAUCAAAUCGGAGCUACGGUUCAACAACUACGAGCAAAACAAGAAAUCACUACAAUCUGCCAAAAUCAGCAACAUAGCAUAUUCUACGCCCCACAACUACGGCCACACAACUCCGAUAAGCUCAAGCAAGGCAUGGCACGGAAGAGGGCAAGAAGCACUACUACAAACAACUAACAACAACUAGCAUGGCAUCAUGGAUCACUAGGGAAAGAAGACACAAAAUGGCAUCUCACACACUAUUUCAGACUUAGUGAAAAUAACACCUCAUGAAAGUGCAGUUUUCAGCGUGAAGUAAUAUUGAAAGCAGCAAAAUCCUAAGCUACAGGUCUCCAAAUGGCAUGAAAAUUCACAGCAUGCUAGAGAAACACAAGGGGUACAACUAACUCCAUUGGACCAACCUCAAAAGAGCUACAGAUCACAAGAUGCAAGCAAGACAAGACAGCAACCAAAUAUAACAGAUUCUAGACUUCAAAAUAUUUCAGCUCCUCUAAAAACAGCACUAUUUCUAGCAACUUGAGAGCAAGCAAACCAGACCUAAACAUGCUUUUCUAUUGCAACUAAAAAUACCAGGGGCUAAACAAAACAUCCAAGAUCAACUCUCUAGUUGACAACUAAUUCAAACGAGGCACGGAAUAAAACCUACGAAUUAAUCAAAAGGGCAACAUAGGAAAAUAUCUCGCGAACAAACUUACUCAAAAGCUAAAACUAAUUGCACAGAAAAAUCCAUGGGAUUUUUCUACCCCGGAAACAUAUAAAAUACGUGGGGUUUGCAACACAAAAUAAAGCCACACAUUAAUGCGGAAAAUACCCUAUAUACGGGAAAAUAAACUAGAGGCAAAUCCCUACACGCAAAAAUACAAAUGACGGCUCUAAAAUGCAUGAAAAAAUGGCCCGUAAAACAUGGGCAUUUCUGUCAUGGCAUUCGAGCAAUUCAAACACGCGCGGAAAAUAAAUGCGGGCACUAUCCUAUCUAGACAACACGUUAAACUAGGCGUUCGGCACGUAAAACUACGUCAAAUAAAUAUGCAAGUGCUAUAAACGGGUUCUACGCGCAAAUCUACACGAAAAGCAUAUAAAAAUCAUCGCGAUCCGACUUACGGAUAAAAAGUUACGGACGUUUGAAUAUACGCCUAUUUUUCUGGAAUUUAAUUAAUUCCUAAAUAUCCCUAAACGAAAAUAACUACCGGGCCGAAACUAUUCCUAAUGGGCUACACCACAGCGAGCAUCACAUCUAUAAGGCGCCACGGGUGCUGGUUAGGGAGGCAGGCUCACCUUGGGCCGAAAGGAGCUGGAGGCCGAGGCGCGGCGCUACUAGGCCGGGGCGAUGGCCGCCUGGGCCGUCGGCGCGCUGGAGAGGCCCCAGGAGCGGGAGGGGCGAUGCGCCAGGGCGGUUCGUCCUCCUCUGUUCCGAUCAGAGGGAGACGGCGGCUGCGCCAUGGCAGCGGCACGGAGGCCGAGCUCCGGCAUGUCACGGGAGACGGGGACGGUCGGGACGGGGCCGGGGUCGGUCGGAUCUCACUGCCAGCGGGGGCGAGGCGCAAGGGCGGCGGUGCUGGCGGGCAAGGCGGCAAGGGCUUCGCGCGGGGCGGCGCUGCAGCGCGCGGCGGCGCGUUCCCCGGUGGAGGCCGGCGGCGGGGUACCUCCCGCGAGGAGCUGCGAGUCGGGGUCGAGGUGGCGCACUCCGGCAGCGGCGGCUGCUGGCCGGCGACUGUGACGCUGCGAGGAGUCGGCGGCGGCGGCUCGGGGAUAGAUCGGGGCAGUGGCGGCCGGGCCUGGGCGGGCCGAGUCGGUGGGAGGAGACUGGUGGGAGGAGAGAGGCUAGCGUUUGGUGGGGUGGCGCGGAAAUCGAGGAGGGAUUAGGGGGAGGCUGUCUAAAAUGCACGGGGAACUAUAUAUAGACAAACGAGGGGGCUCGGUUAACCGGAAUCGCAUUCCGGAUCCAACCGCGGGGUCNGUCGGGGUCGAGGUGGCGCACUCCGGCAGCGGCGACUGCUGGCCGGCGACUGCGGCGCUUCGAGGAGUCGGCGGCGGCGGCUCGGGGACAGAUCGGGGCGCCGGUGGCCGGGCCUGGGCGGGCCAGCCGUGGGCCUGGCGGGCCCAGUCGUUGGGAGGAGACUGGUGGGAGGAGAGAGGCUAGGGUUUGGUGGGGUGGCGCGGAAAUUGAGGAGGGAUUAGGGGGAGGCUGUCUAAAAUGCAUGGGGAACUAUAUAUAGACAAACGAGGGGGCUCGGUUAACCGGAAUCGCAUUCCGGAUCCAACCGCGGGGUCGGAUUCGGACGAUUCCGAACGCAGGUAUGGGUACGCGGGCGUGUAGAGGGGAUAUCCGGAGACGAGAGGGAGAACGGGCGGCGCGGCACGAAUUUUAAGACACCGACAGACGUCCGACGAAUAAUCGAAGACGGUGCCGCUACGGUCGACCGUUCGGGUAGCAGACGGUCUCCGAUCGCGACGAAAUUCGACAGGCGGCCCAGCUAUAUCUAAUCGCGACCGCGUGCCAAGUUUCACCUCGAUCAGAGAAAGUUUUAAACGCACUUUAAAAACAGGGUUUCGACGGUGCCACGAGCGCGUGCGAGUGCAGUGAGGCUCGGAACGAACAACGGUGCGAACCGGCAACUAACAACGGAUGCAAGUUUUGAAAACGGGUGGCAAUAGAGACGGCGAUGCAAUGCAGAUGAUGUGCAUGAUGCGAUGAUGAUGCGGCAACUGAAAAUACCCACACGACGAAAACCGAAAGAAAAGGGGAAGCUUCUGGAACGUCGGCAUCGGGGUGUCACAACUCUCCUACACUACAAGAGGAUCUCGCCCCGAGAUCCAAGAAUGAAAGGGGGAGAGGAUGAGAAAGCAAGAGGUAAAAAUUUAGUCGCUUCUUUGACAAACGAGUGAAACCAACAAUCCUUGAAGGUUGCAAGGAGACGAGGAAUGACAUGAGAAAGAAGCCGGAAUUCACGGAAAAUUUCUGCAGCACUUCGGUAGGAAAAUGGGACAAAAAAUUCAAUAAGGUGAGGGAAUCAGACAAUAUGCACAACAAACAAGUAAAUAGAGCAAGGGAACACCAUGAUCUUGAUAGAACAACAAGAUUGACCCGAAAGGGCAACAACACAAAGCCUCCAGAACGAGAGAAUAGAAACUAGCUCAUACGGAAGAAGAGUAUGAAGAAAAGAAUGACAACUACUAACUCCAAUGAACUUGGCAGGCAUCCUUGCAAGAAGAAUUGGACGAAGUUGUUGGAAGAACAACAACGACAAGAACAAGAUAGUAGUGGGCUUAUGAAAAUCAUCUCAACAAAUAUGAGGUGACAACCAACCACUAAAAGAAACAAGGAUAGAUUGGGAGAAACAAGAUAUGGACAAUCUUACACCAAGAGGAUACAUUGAGAACUCAGAUUAAAGACAAGCACCAUGAUAGCACAAUCCAUAGGAAAAGCUUUAGGUGAAGUCCAAACCAAGAUAGCUCAAUGAAGAAAUCAUGGGUUGCAAAUAUCUCAUGAUCAUAGAAUCGGUGGGUUUAAUUAUCUCAUUCUUGAAAGGAAAACUCUUCGAGGCUCCUACACUAACAAGAAGGCUAUAAUACCACCUCAAAGGAUAAAGGAAGAACAAUUGCACAUAUAAAUGCAAGAGAAAGGAUACUUGAGGUUCUCCAACAAGAAUCUUGAAGAACACUUGAGAACAAAUUGAAACCUUGAUGAAUCACCAUGAAGGACCUCCGUAUACAAAUGAAUGAUGCAAAGAUAUCAAGGUAGAAAAGAAUAAGAUUAUGACCUUGCCAAAAUUAAGAUGAAGCCUCACAGAGAGAUACCUAAAAGAACUUGGAACUUCGGAAAAGAAAAGAUAAGCACACUUGAGAAAAAGGAAUUGAUAUCGUGAGCCGCUCCGGAAGGAGAAUUCAGAUUACUAUUGACAAGAAUAAGAAUUAUGUUAUGCUAGUCCUUCAUCAAGUUUAAUGGAUGACAAGCAACGGAUUUAGCAUACCACUUAUUCCUCUUAAAAAGAUUAAAGAGAGAUAGAUAAAGCACAAACUAGAAGAAAUGUUGCAAGAAACACCGGUAAUAAUUCACAAUUGAAUGGGAAUUCCAAGAAUGCAUGGAAACAUCUGAGAAUGAAGAGAUCAUGAGCCACCUGAGAGAAAACUUGAACAAGGCACCAGAUAAUCGAGAGACGAACGAAGAGACAACAAUUGAGAAGAAUUGAGGAUGAAGGCUGAAAGCUGAGAACGAAGAAUCUUCUGAAAUGAUGGCCUUCGGAGGAUCGAGAAAUAAAAACAACUCAGAGAAGCACCGGAUAGCAAGAAGGGAUCACUCAUGAUUGGGGACAAAUGAGAGGAUAGCACGAAGCUGAGACGACAAUCUCCAAGAGAAUGGACCAAGAUUUACGAGGAACACUCCUUCGAAUUGCAAGCUGAGGAUGAUGAUGAGAAAAACACCGAGAAUAGCUGAGACACCCCGGAAUAAAGAAAAAUGCAAGGUUGAGCCAAUAUGAGGAUUAAUUCAAAUAGAUCCUGAAGAAGGGAUAUGACUGAUGAAAAACAUACUUACGUCAUAGUUGAAAAGAAUUAAGGAUCUCCGGAAAAAGAUUAAAGAGCCAGGUAAGAUCCUGGGAAAACCUGUGGGUUAUGGGCCCACUCAAAGAAAAUCACCGUUGAAACAAUAGCUAGAACGAGAGAUAUUGCACUGGUAUGAAGAGAACUAGAUGAGGUUGAGAACCUCGAAAUAAUGAAAGAAUUGAAAACAAGAAAUCUGAGAUAACUUCAACGCUCCGGAUGAAAAGAGAGGAAUGAAUAGCAACAAGACUGACUGAUAAAAAUCUCCAACAAAGGAAAGAAUUACACGGAUGAAUGGAUAUGAUGACACGGACAACUAAAUUAAAUCUCCGGAUGAGACACGGAAGAAAAUAUAGCGGAAGCACAAUGAAAUGAAUGCGCUUGGAUGAAAUCCAAUCACCAAAGAAAAAGGGCGGNNNNNNNNNNNNNNNNNNNNNNNNNNNNNNNNNNNNNNNNNNNNNNNNNNNNNNNNNNNNNNNNNNNNNNNNNNNNNNNNNNNNNNNNNNNNNNNNNNNNAGCUGACAUUUUGCAGAACACAUCAAAUGGUCCUAUCUCAGAAAAGUUGAAAGGAAAGGUAGAGCUAAAUUUGCAAAUAUUUAGAAGCCUUACCACAUCAAAUUCUUUUGGAUGAGUGAGCAUGUAAACUCGAGCAUCAGCCAAGUGAGCUUCCACCUUGCUAAUAACAGAAGCCCCAUUGAACUUGAUGUUCCUCUUGCAAGCUUCAACAGAAGCUGAAGAAAGAAAAGCACAUUGAAUGUGCGGCGGCAUUCAUAACUAGGAAAGAAGUUUUAGAAACGUAUGUAUUACCUUUAUCAUUGUCCAGAGCAACUACCUUUCCUAAUCCAUCAACUUCACGAGCAUAACGGAGAGACCUCAACCCAGAAGCAGCUAACGCCUGCAUUUUUUUGUUGCCAGUGCAAAACCGACCUCAGGUGAUGUUAAUAUGUGCAUAAAUAAUUGACUGGAUGUCACUAUACUUCAAACUUCUUGCAGAAAGAGAUAUGACAAGUUUCAUUUUUAACAGAAGCCUCACCUCAAGAACAAUUGGUGGCUUAAGCUCUCUGGUUACUUUCCCGGAAGGUGUCUUCGUUUCUUCUUUUGACGGAUCUUCUAUUUCAUUUGUAGCCUGAUUUGGCUCCUUUUCAUGAACAACAUCGGUUUCAUCAUGCUGAGUUAAAGCAGUGUCUCCAUUUACAACAGGUGUUUCAAUCUGAUUGCCUUUUUUAUGCGACUUAUUAUUCCUUUUAUUCAUCAGUUCCUCAUGUUCUUCCUUGCGCUUGGCAACAAAUGUCCUUAACACAGCAAUGGACAUGUCUCUGUUGUGCACCUAAUCAAAGCAGUAAACUUGAGCUUUACAAAAAAUAUAUGCAUGAUGGUUAGCUGCAGGAUUAUCCAUAAGUUUAUAAAUGGUAUGUACUUUCCCUUUAACUUUUUAUAAUAGAAAAUACCCAUAGUCAACCAAGCAUCUAUAUACUGCCCAUCUAGCCGCCUACCAGCAUUGAAUUUGUCCCACUAAUAUGCUGUUUCAGACACCAUAGCCUGAGAUGUUGGCCAACAUGACUGAUACUUGACCUGACAAUAUUAACUACUCCCUCUGUCCGGAAUUACUUGUCGCACAAAUGGAUAAAAAAGGAUGUAUCUAGAACUAAAAUACAUCUAGAUACAUCCAUUCUUAAUUUCUUAUGACAAGUAUUUCCGGACGGAGGGAGUAUUAAAAAGUACUACCUCUGUUCCUAAAUGUAACGUGUUUUGGCAGUUCAUUUCACACAAGAAACUCUACAUUCCAUAAGCAUGUUUAUCUAUAGCAAAAGUUCAGGGACUCCUGAAGUCACAAUGCAACUUGAAACCCUUUAAUGGAACAAACUUUGCCAAAAUAAAAUAAAAAAGGGGAGUAUUUUGAAGAAACAACAUCAUGCGAUUUGAAACCGUCCAACUAUCAAUCCAAUUGCUUUAUCCAGUACCAGAAUACCACGUAGACAAAGCCAAUAACAUGUAAGGGGCUUUGAUAUAUCUUUGAACAUUUGUAAAUUUAGAUAGAAUACAAAACAGUCUACUGCAGAGCGCUAACAUAAAUUAUCAUCAGAAUAAAAAAAAACAAGUUUAGCUAGGCAGAAACCACAAUCAUGGUACAGCGAGGUCAAGUUGACACUACAGAUCCAAACACAAUGACAUAUUAAUCGUCCCCCAGCACCCAAUUUGGAGUUCUAAAGUAACUCGAAGCUCUAAAACUGCUACACGCCGAUCAACUAGAAGCCAGCUGUGGAUGAAACAAUACAUACAGUGCAAGCAAUAAAGCAAAGCCCCGCAAUCACUAUACGCCUACGCCCUAUAUAGGUUAACUCAAGGAGUGCAGAUUUUAAUCCCUAAUCCAGAGCGUAUAAAAACAACAGACAAAUAUGAAAGCGAAGAUACCUGCACGGGAUUGAAGAACACGGCGUUACUAUUGAGCAUGAGGAUCUCAGCCUCGCCUUCCUUCUUGAUCUCAAAGCCCUUGAGCUUGUCCUCCAGGUCCCCCAUGUCUACAAAUCCAAACCCAACCACGGAAUCCAAGGGAAAUUAGUAGCCCGCGGUGAGGAGGACGAGGUUCGGCGAGAAAGGACGGACGCUAGCGCUCAGCGGCACGGAGUUCGGAGGUGAGGUAUAUGGCGGCGGCGGCGGCGGCGGCGAGGGGGAAGACGAAACUCGCGGAACCCAAACUGGCAGCCAGGGCUUAACAUAGGCUGUAAGGGUUCUUUUCGGAAAAUAUAAAAAUCAAAAUAAGAAUUGAGAAAAAAAAUUAGGGUCCGAUAUACAUCACACGUGUGGCAUACUAGACAUGUCCCCACAUAUUCUGGGUGACAUAAUCAGGAGACAGUCCACACGGUCAUGUGCGGGCGAACAUUAGAACUGCCCACACGUGUGGGCACACCUACUUCAUGUGACACGUCAAACAAUUACUAUUCAUACCCCGCGUGUGCGGCACAAAGCAAAUCUGCCUACACAUUCUGGCAGCUACGUUAGUUAUCCGUCGGAUGACACUUUAGUUACCCGAUGGAUGGCAACUUUAGUUGUUCGAGAUGACAAAUAUAAUUGUAAAAGCAUGGCAACUUUUCUGUUUUGUUAAACUAUAGUUGUNNNNNNNNNNNNNNNNNNNNNNNNNNNNNNNNNNNNNNNNNNNNNNNNNNNNNNNNNNNNNNNNNNNNNNNNNNNNNNNNNNNNNNNNNNNNNNNNNNNNACAUGACGCGUGUAGAACCUAGUAAGAAUUGUGCUGUUCAGUAAAUUGGUUACUCCAGCUAAAAAGUAGUAGACCGUUUCCUGGUCUGUUUUUUCCCGUUUUGCUUGAUAAAAGCAAAAGCUUGUAAUUUGUCCUUGGUUGUAGCCAAGGGUCGGAAUGAUUUUGCAGUAAUUUAGAACAUCUAGCUUAGCAUUUAUUUAUUGUGUCACGUGCAUAUUUGUGGAUAGGUUAUAUGGAACUGAUAAAUUUUUAUGUGUUCUCUUUAAACUUCAUUCACGUUUUCUCUUGUUAUGCAGGAAUUGCAUGACAUUCCAUUAUUUUUUAGUCUCCAUAACAUAUCUGGGACUGUGAAGUGCACAUCACCAUCUGCAGUUAUGUUCCGGUCAGCAGUUAUAAAUGCAGGAUAUCAGAUAUCAAGCAGUCACUGUAACCCGCUCGGGCUGAAGUCUGAUGCCCCGUGGGAUGUUAUUUGGGACAUCAUGCGCUGCUGGGUAAAUAUUGGUUGUUUGUGACCUUUGAUCACAACUUCCAUUCAGUAUGUAGCCUCAAGUACCCCAUGAACUUGUAUUUACCUUAUGGCUUUGUGGAAUAUUUGAAUGCAGGUGAAAAACCAUCCAAUCAAGGAACAGCCGCGUGAUUCUGCAGGCACUGCAAUCCUUUCUAAAUCUCCACAGCUAGAAGUACGCUAUUUGUUGAGAUUACAAUGUCCCUUGUAUGCUUGUAUGUGAACAAAAUUGUAUUUUUACUCCUCAUUUUGUGUUUUCAUCAUAGGCAAAUUUCUCUAGAGCAGUUGCUGCCCUCAGCAAGGCUCAGAUGAAGAAGGUGAAUCGGUUCCUUCCAAACCCAGAAAGUCACUGGGGUCCAAAGGUCAGGGCAGGUCGGAGAAUUACAAACAAGCAUAUCUCCCUGUUAGGCGCAGAGGCUACCAAUGAAGCUAUCAGCCGCCAAGAUGGAAAUGGAGCGGUGACAGAUAAGCCAGGUUCAGAUACAGGAGCGACUGUCACAGACGAAGAGAAUGAACCUUCAACCAAACGCCAGAAAACCGAUGAUGGUGAACCCGCCAGCGAACCUUGAUUGACAUUGUCAUCGUAACUUUUUGUUCGUCAAUCUUGAUAUCACUUGUUGUUUCUUUCUUGUGAGCGAACAGACUAUUGAUAGUACCUACUGUGACAUGUUUUGAGCAAUGAAUUUUGAUCAGGCAAUUUUACUCUAUAGUUUGUCAUUUCAUUUUAAUUUAUUAUUUGCCA
This 38367-nucleotide long non-coding RNA is filed under the name Hordeum vulgare. Its description in RNAcentral is "long non-coding RNA (HVUL_LNC010626)". The stretch from base 35489 to 35621 matches the Rfam family "MIR1120/MIR1122 microRNA precursor family". The record is from RNAcentral. Lineage: Eukaryota; Viridiplantae; Streptophyta; Magnoliopsida; Poales; Poaceae.